GGUUGUAUAGUGUACUGCUUAGCACUCUGGACUUCGAAUCCAGCGACUUGGGUUCGAAUUCCGCUAGAACGUCA
RNAcentral lists this transfer RNA (74 nucleotides) under Perkinsus olseni. RNAcentral describes it as "tRNA-Arg". It matches the Rfam family "tRNA". Rfam says of the family: Transfer RNA (tRNA) molecules are approximately 80 nucleotides in length. Their secondary structure includes four short double-helical elements and three loops (D, anti-codon, and T loops). Further hydrogen bonds mediate the characteristic L-shaped molecular structure. tRNAs have two regions of fundamental functional importance: the anti-codon, which is responsible for specific mRNA codon recognition, and the 3' end, to which the tRNAs corresponding amino acid is attached (by aminoacyl-tRNA synthetases). tRNAs cope with the degeneracy of the genetic code in two manners: having more than one tRNA (with a specific anti-codon) for a particular amino acid; and 'wobble' base-pairing, i.e. permitting non-standard base-pairing at the 3rd anti-codon position. Lineage: Eukaryota; Perkinsozoa; Perkinsida; Perkinsidae. The record is from RNAcentral.